UGUUAGGAUUAUGAUUCCAACUAAAUAUAACAACCUUCAUAUUGAAUAAUCCGGAAUUAAACUACAUGAGCGGAAGCUAACCUGAAUCCAUAUGUGGAAAUUGUUGAACCUCCUUUUGAUGAUUGUCCGUAUGUCUCUAUGAAGUUUGCUCCUUAGCCUUCCUUCAAGAAUGUCUUGAAGUUGUAUAUGUAUCCACAAAUAUGCAAGAAACAAACCUUAAACAAUAUGUUUAUUCACAAUAAUAAUGUUGUGACAAUGAUCAAAUAGGUAUAUGGUUUUCCACACUAUUUGAAAGACAACAAUGGAGUAUUUUGGCUCUUGAUUCAAU
Molecule: long non-coding RNA, 328 nt
Filed under: Nicotiana benthamiana
Lineage: Eukaryota; Viridiplantae; Streptophyta; Magnoliopsida; Solanales; Solanaceae
Description: long non-coding RNA (NBEN_LNC021702)
Source: RNAcentral